GACGAACGCUGGCGGCGUGCUUAACACAUGCAAGUCGAACGGUGAAGCAGAGCUUGCUCUGUGGAUCAGUGGCGAACGGGUGAGUAACACGUGAGUAACCUGCCCUUGACUCUGGGAUAAGCGUUGGAAACGACGUCUAAUACCGGAUACGAGCUGAGACCGCAUGGUCAUCAGUUGGAAAGAUUUUUUGGUCAAGGAUGGACUCGCGGCCUAUCAGCUUGUUGGUGAGGUAAUGGCUCACCAAGGCGACGACGGGUAGCCGGCCUGAGAGGGUGACCGGCAACACUGGGACUGAGACACGGCCCAGACUCCUACGGGAGGCAGCAGUGGGGAAUAUUGCACAAUGGGCGCAAGCCUGAUGCAGCAACGCCGCGUGAGGGAUGACGGCCUUCGGGUUGUAAACCUCUUUUAGUAGGGAAGAAGCGAAAGUGACGGUACCUGCAGAAAAAGCACCGGCUAACUACGUG
Molecule: ribosomal RNA, 467 nt
Filed under: uncultured bacterium
Lineage: Bacteria
Description: partial 16S ribosomal RNA
Rfam family: Bacterial small subunit ribosomal RNA
Source: RNAcentral